AGAGUUUGAUCAUGGCUCAGAACGAACGCUGGCGGCGUGGAUAAGACAUGCAAGUCGAGCGCUGAUUUGAGGGUAGCAAUAUUUUCAAGUCGGAGCGGCGCAAGGGUGCGUAACACGUGGGAAUCUGCCUUGAAGUGUGGGAUAACUCCGAGAAAUCGGAGCUAAUACCGCAUGUGAUCGUGAGAUCAAAGUUGGGGAUCGCAAGACCUGACGCUUCAAGAUGAGCCCGCGGCCUAUCAGCUAGUUGGCGAGGUAAAAGCUCACCAAGGCUAAGACGGGUAGCUGGUCUGAGAGGACGACCAGCCACACUGGAACUGAGACACGGUCCAGACACCUACGGGUGGCAGCAGUCGAGAAUUUUUCUCAAUGGGCGAAAGCCUGAAGGAGCGACGCCGCGUGGGGGAUGAAUGGCUUCGGCCCGUAAACCCCUGUCAUUUGCGAACAAAUUGACUCACCCAACACGUGUGUCAUUGAUUGUAGCGGAAGAGGAAGGGACGGCUAACUCUGUGCCAGCAGCCGCGGUAAUACAGAGGUCCCAAGCGUUGUUCGGAUUCACUGGGCGUAAAGGGUGCGUAGGCGGUUGGGUAAGUCUGACGUGAAAUCUCCGGGCCUAACCCGGAAACUGCGUUGGAUACUAUCCGGCUAGAGGAAUGGAGGGGAGACUGGAAUACUUGGUGUAGCAGUGAA
RNAcentral lists this ribosomal RNA (687 nucleotides) under uncultured bacterium. Its description in RNAcentral is "bacterial SSU rRNA". It matches the Rfam family "Bacterial small subunit ribosomal RNA", at positions 8 to 685 of the family's 1533-position model. The record is from RNAcentral.